UAAAAAGAUUGGGACUUUGCAGCUUAGUAAAGAGACAACUAAGGCGGAUAUGAGAAAGGUCUAUAAAAUCAUGAAUGGCAUGAAAAAGUGAAUAAGAA
This is a non-coding RNA of Chelonoidis abingdonii (Abingdon island giant tortoise), 98 nucleotides long. Lineage: Eukaryota; Metazoa; Chordata; Testudines; Testudinidae. The record is from RefSeq and is a predicted model, not a curated record.